GAGUUUGAUCAUGGCUCAGAUUGAACGCUGGCGGCAUGCCUUACACAUGCAAGUCGAACGGCAGCGGGGGAAAGCUUGCUUUCCUGCCGGCGAGUGGCGAACGGGUGAGUAAUACAUCGGAACGUGCCCUGUAGUGGGGGAUAACUAGUCGAAAGAUUAGCUAAUACCGCAUACGACCUGAGGGUGAAAGUGGGGGACCGCAAGGCCUCAUGCUAUAGGAGCGGCCGAUGUCUGAUUAGCUAGUUGGUGGGGUAAAGGCCUACCAAGGCGACGAUCAGUAGCUGGUCUGAGAGGACGAUCAGCCACACUGGGACUGAGACACGGCCCAGACUCCUACGGGAGGCAGCAGUGGGGAAUUUUUGGACAAUGGGCGAAAGCCUGAUCCAGCAAUGCCGCGUGUGUGAAGAAGGCCUUC
RNAcentral lists this ribosomal RNA (415 nucleotides) under uncultured beta proteobacterium. Its description in RNAcentral is "bacterial SSU rRNA". It matches the Rfam family "Bacterial small subunit ribosomal RNA", at positions 9 to 419 of the family's 1533-position model. Lineage: Bacteria; Pseudomonadati; Pseudomonadota; Betaproteobacteria. The record is from RNAcentral.